RNAcentral lists this ribosomal RNA (248 nucleotides) under uncultured bacterium. Its description in RNAcentral is "partial 16S ribosomal RNA". It matches the Rfam family "Bacterial small subunit ribosomal RNA", at positions 524 to 771 of the family's 1533-position model. The record is from RNAcentral.
UACGGAGGGUGCAAGCGUUAUCCGGAUUCACUGGGUUUAAAGGGUGCGUAGGUGGGAAGGUAAGUCAGUGGUGAAAUCCCCGAGCUUAACUUGGGAACUGCCAUUGAUACUAUCUUUCUUGAAUACCUUGGAGGUGAGCGGAAUAUGUCAUGUAGCGGUGAAAUGCUUAGAUAUGACAUAGAACACCAAUUGCGAAGGCAGCUCACUACACGGUCAUUGACACUGAGGCACGAAAGCGUGGGGAGUCA